This is a long non-coding RNA of Monodon monoceros (narwhal), 1612 nucleotides long. Lineage: Eukaryota; Metazoa; Chordata; Mammalia; Artiodactyla; Monodontidae. The record is from Ensembl.
GAAGGGUUUUCCAGGACUUUCCGUGCCCCAGCCCCAGGCAAACCAGGACAGGUUGCUCUACACAUUCUUCUUUAACUCUCCAGAGUGCAAAGGAGAGCAUCAAACAAGCACAGGAGGUGUGUGGCUCUCCCCGCCAGGAACGGUCAUCAGGAAACAGUGCCCAGCACUCGCGGGGCAUUUUAAGGGCUCACGCAGAGCCUCGCCUCCAGACAGCACCGCGAGGCAGGGACUAGCAGGGCACUCACUGUUCAAGUGAGAAAAAAGGAGAUGCAGAGAGCUUGACUCCGUUUUCCAAAAUCACCCAGCUGUUAAGUGUGGGCAGCUCACCUUGCCUCUCUACUGUCCAUCUUUUCCUCUCCUUUAAAAACUUCCAAAGACCAUGUGGAAGCCUGCUGGCCUUCCUCUUCAGGUCCCGUUUCUCAUCUGAGUCAUCCUCACCUCUCUGGCUGAUUGAUGGGCCUGGGGGAGCAUUAAUAACUAGUCUUUGAUAAGGAGUCAGUGGUUUGCAGAGUAUAUUUAUUGCAGGGAGGGGAGGGCACAUAGUGGACACAAACCUUGGUAACCAUUUAAAUGCCCAACAGUAGGAGUUGCUUUUUAGGAAAACUAAUGUGCUAUCCCCAGAAAGGAUACACUGACCGGGGAGAAAGUCUAGAAACUGGGAGAUGAAUGCACAGACUGUUCCUUUCAAGCAGUAGCUGUUGUAUACCCAGUUCAUGUACUGAACAGCUCCUGGUGAUGUGUCAUACAUAUGGCUGGCCGUGGGCACACAGCAGAGCAGAACAGGGGCCUGGCCCUCUGGGACCGGAUGCUCUGGUGUGGGAUGCGCUAGGUCAGUGCGGCUGGGACACGUGCUGGGAAGGAAAUGAUCAGGGGUGGAGGCGACUUGCUGUAGAGCGGGAGGCUGGGGAAGAGGCUGCCCGGAAGGCCUGCGUGGGAGAAGGGACAGCUGUGCAGAACAGAGGGGCUGGAGGUUCAGGAGAGGAACCAACAGGGGCCGAUGCCUCAACGCUGCCACAGACUUGGAAAGGCAGGAAGGAUCCAGAAGAUGCUGAGGGGCUGUGGGGUCACCUUCUCUUCCUCCCUCCUGCCGCCCCAAGCUGUCUGAGUUGCGUGUUACGCAGUGGGAGAGCACAUUGGCCUGGAUCUCAAGCUACCCACGUUCUAGUCCUGCCUGUGUUAUUUCCUAGAGCUGUGGCCUCGGGUAAGUCACCUCACCUCUCUGGGCCUCAGUUUCUCCAUUUGUAAUAUGAUGGGUGUGCAUAGGUAAUCUCCAAGUUCCCUUUCUACCCUGAAAUUAUUGGAAUUCCUAAUGCCCAGUUGCAAAGUGGGAAAGAUGAGGGGAAUUUUCCUCAUUUAUUAUCUUCUAAGGGUGAUUCUGAAGAGUGAUAACAAGAGUUAAGUCUCUUACACAUUUCAGACAGGAAGGGAACGAAAGUAAUGCCCAUUGUUCCCUCCUUGCUUCUCACCUUAGUCAUGUUGCCUGACUUCUUUUAUUAAUCUUAAGGUGAUUUAAGUUUUAUAUUUUUUGUAUAUCACCUGCUUCCAAAAUAGAUUUGAGGGGUUCACGGUAUAAGAUGCACACGUGCAACUGGAUCAUUAACAUAAAAUAGGA